Molecule: ribosomal RNA, 266 nt
Filed under: uncultured bacterium
Lineage: Bacteria
Description: partial 16S ribosomal RNA
Source: RNAcentral
CUGCUGCCUUCCGUAGGAGUUUGGUCCGUGUCUCAGUACCAAUGUGGGGGGUUGACCUCUCAGUCCCCCUAUGUAUCGUCGCCUUGGUGAGCCGUUACCCCACCAACUAGCUAAUACAACGCAUGUCCAUCUCUGACCACCUGAGUUUUCAACCACCGAAGAUGCCUCCGGUGAUGUUAUGGGGUAUUAGUACCAAUUUCUCGAUGUUAUCCCCCUGUCAAAGGUAGGUUACAUACGCGUUACGCACCCGUCGCCGGUCGCCGGCA